This is a long non-coding RNA of Polyodon spathula (Mississippi paddlefish), 6832 nucleotides long. RefSeq lists it as uncharacterized. NCBI's taxonomy places the organism in Eukaryota, Metazoa, Chordata, Actinopteri, Acipenseriformes, Polyodontidae. The transcript has 2 exons. The record is from RefSeq and is a predicted model, not a curated record.
GUUAGGGUUAUAUAGUGCGAAAAGAUUUACGCAUUAAGUACAUUAUAGCUAUGCAAUAGUGACAUUGUAAUAGUGUGAUAGUACACAUGUAUUUAAGUAACUACUAUGUAAAUACACAGUAAUUAGAGACACUUAAUGUGAAGUGUUACUCAGAUUUUCAUAGGUUGACUGGCCGCUUCCUAAUAGUGAGGUGACCUUUCGCGCGCAAUCAUUAGUUAAUAAGGCGAAAAAAGUUCCUAAUGUGAGGACCCACCCCCGAGGGAGCCCUUCACAUCAUGCAGCCAUGUGCCCUGACCUUUAUUAGCGCAUUAAUAAUGAUCUCAUGAUUCUCAGUCAGACACACUCUGCGGGGCGGGGGGGUUAAAAUCUUUACACAGCAGUCCCCGGGUUGUGCUGUGAACUGUCAGCCCGCUGUGAUUGAUGUGUGAAAUUCAAUGCAGCCGCUGUUUGGGGAGCUGUUGCAUUGAAAAAGAAUACAAUAAAUAAAAUUGCAGAUCCAGUAGCAAUAAUUACAGCUUGGAUCGUUCUUGUGAGGAACCCACGUUGAAGCAAAGCGGUUUCUUACGCGGGCUGGUAUACGCAAGAAGGCAUUGCGCGGAGUCUUACUGCAUGAUGAGACUCGCUGCUUAAACAAACCUUGCUCCAGUUGUCUUGUAAUCUGUGUUUCUGUAUUGCACUGGAGGAGCUUUGAGGUAUGUUUUCCCAAGAGAUCCAGCGGUGUAUUUAAAUAUAAUGCAAAGAUAUUGCAAGAGCCCUUUUAAUUAUAUUUCAUAUCCGGAUAAUUUCAGUUUUAAUGUUUGGGGACACCUGGAGCGAUGGUUCCAUCAUUACUUCAGUCCGCUUGCUUGCUUGUUUCGUCUGAAAGGUCGUUCUGUUAAUGCAUGAUUCAGUCUUCAUCGGCUCUUAACUAGUUUUUAAUCUGGGGUUGUUAGGGAGCUGGAAUGGCGUGCCGUCUCCAGCCAUGCCUUCCCCAGAAGAGUGCCAGUCAAUAUGUCACGUCAAUUAGGAUUUCACUGUGUGGGCUGCUAGGAGUGACAGCUCUGGAGCCAGGAGAGGGCAGCUGGAUGGCUGGGCUGUCUGGCUGCUUGAUCAGCCCUGCAAACCUGCAGCAUCUUAUUAGACUGGCUUGCAGUGCAGGGAGCAGAGAGACACUGCCUUUAAUAGGUGUGAAAUGGAAAAGCAGAACAAAUCGAGACACUGGCAAAUAACAAUAAUAAAAAGGUACUUUGCAAAUAACUUGACAAUGUAACAUGCAUUCUUUUCUAUAUAUAGGGGGGAGUAGGUGGGCUUCAUGCAAGGCAUUGUUCAAAUCUAGCAGUGAAGUGGUAUGAGUUCAGCGGUCCACACUGGGCAGCUGGGUAAUCCACAUCACAAGUGGCACUGAUUACCUUUGCAGGUCCUGUAUUCAGUAAGGAUAUGGCUGCACGUCUAUGACGUCAAAGCAGAGCAGAGAUGUGAAACGCACAGUGUGUGCUGUGUCAAGGUAAUAGCUGCGUACAGCAAGGGAAAUCGAACUAACUUCUAGCUCUGAUUUUCACUACGUGAUGCUGACCAGGAAAUAAAGUUUUGUGUUCAUUGCUGUAGCUGGGACUUCUCUCUCUCUUUUUUUUUUCUUGUAAAGUUCAUAGAAAUUGAAAUUCUGACACAUGCAAACGUCGGAGGAAUAUAGUACAUGUAUAUAAAAUGUAUAAAAGCCUGCAGGCAAUCUGCAGAACAGGCAGCAUCCACAGAACCCACCCGUAACUCGCUUAGCUUUCAAUGACAGGCUUGUAGUAGCUGUUCCCACACAGCUCUGCUAUAAUAAUGUAUGUUAUAAUAAUGUAGAAAGAUCUGCCAAAAGGACCUCUUGCACUGCUGGGAUGGAAAUACCACUCCUGUAGCAUAGCAGUUUCUCCCGUUCCAGGUUUUACUGUGAUCUUGAGUAUACCCAGUAUGUACAGGGAACAAGCUCAGGUGUGCCUUACUGAACUCGUAGUAAAACCAGGAAUGGAUCAAACUGCUGAGCAGUGGGAGUCUUAUUCCCAUCCCUGCGCUACCUUUAGUUCUUUCAUUAGUCUUUUUGUUAAUGUAGAAUUCUGAGGGAAGAGGGUGAUUUUAGAUCAAGGUGAUUAUCUUGGAAGAGCAGGGACAGGUUUGGUGGGAGCGUUUCCACUCCCUCCUGGGGAACGAGAAUGACCAGCCUCCCAUUGUGAUGCGUUGUGGCACUGAGGAGGCGAGGAAGCCUGCAUCAGCCACCCUCCUCCUGUGCAAGGAGUCUGUACCUCCUGGAAAUUUCUGAUCAGACGAAAUCUAACAAGACAAAGUGGACAGGUGGCAUUGCGUCGCAUGUUUAUUUAUUAAAGCGCGAGAGAAGGAAAGCAGAGGCCGAGAGGGAGAUGGGUAGGAUAGAAGUAGACAGGUUUAUAAUAGCUGUCACGUCUUUAAGCCUCUAACACAAUCUAGAAUAUGAAAAUAGGACAGCCACUCCAAAUUAAAAAUGACAUUAAUUUUUGCUGACAACGUGCAUCACAUUUUUCAUUUCAGGUAAAAUAGUACCCAAUUAGGUUCUGCCAAUUAGUCGUGGAAAUAACCAAUCAUGUCAAGAGUGACGGGCUCCUGGAAAGAGCUGUGCAUGUUUUCACAAGAAUAUAAAGCGAACACACCACUGCAGCACAACCAAGAUUCCUCGGGUCAUAAUUUACAACUUGUGAUACAGUGUGUGUGACAGGGUACAGCACGAUGUGAGUCACUCCAUUUACAACUUGUGAUACAGCGUGUGUGACAGGGUACAGCACGAUGUGAGUCACUCCAUUUACAACUUGUGAUACAGUGUGUGUGACAGGGUACAGCACGAUGUGAGUCAAUCCAUUUACAACUUGUGAUACAGCGUGUGUGACAGGGUACAGCACGAUGUGAGUCACUCCAUUUACAACUUGUGAUACAGCGUGUGUGACAGGGUACAGCACGAUGUGAGUCACUCCAUUCUCAGCAGUAGCUACAUUCCAAGGACUGCGUGCCUUUUAUGUGAUUAUUUCAAUUGCUGUUAAUAAUAUUAACAGACAAUAAAAUUUAGAUUUUAUUUAUUUUUUAACCAUAUCCCGUGUGACCCUUGGCCAGUUCAGUUGGCCCAAUUUGCUUUUUUUUUUUUUUUUUUUUUUACAAUGCAACACGCACGCUGCUAACUUGCAUUACAUCCCUUGUAUGAUGCAUCAGUCAUGGAUUACCUUGCAUGCAUUUCCAUUGGGCAGUGCAAGACCAGUAGUAGACCAGUCAGCCGUGUGUUUGUAUACUCUGUUGCUGUAGGUCGGUGGAUGUAGUUUGGAUCUCCGAUUCUUUUGUCAGUGUGUCAAGAUCUGGAAGCUCACUCUAAAUUCUUCAGUGUUGUCCUUCCAAGCUCUUGACCUUUGAUAUACUGACCCUCUCUGUCACAAUGGGGUGUUUACAGUGAGCUUCUACUGCAAAAAUCAGCUUCAGUGUCUUUCUUUUAAAGCUGGGGUGUGUCCUGGUUUUUUUUUUUGUUUUCCUUGUGCUCUGGUUGGUUUAUAACUUCAGCCUCUGCAUAUUGUAGUGUGGUGGAUUACUGUAUCCAACACAAACGCAUGUCUUUCUGGUAGCAGGUAUUCAGGGAAUCGUGUCGUUCUGCAGUUAUGUUGCCUAAUCCACUUGUAACAGUUUGGAUGGUAAUUAUGGUAUCAGCAAAUAGCACUGGGCCUGAGCCAAAAUACUGAAGUAGAAAAUUGAAUACAAAGGUAUGUUUUAAUGACAAGAUAAUGAAUUCAGUGGUAAUUGCAGGUAAUAAAUGCUGGCUUGUGGGUUUAGCAAUUACUAAUGCAGCAGGCAUUCGCGGUGACAAAGAUAUGUGUAAUAUAUAUUGUAAUUGCUUGAAUCCGGGCCAAACCAGCGGACUACGCCUGCACUUCAACGCCGUGCGGAAUAUCAAUAAAACGACGACGUGGGGGAGCUGUGAAAACGUCCGCGGCUUCAAGGGCCAUCGCUGCUGAUCUUAGUGUGGAGGCAUGUAGGAAGCGUUUUAUUACGGGACACUAACGCUCCACCGUUUCAAUGUCAAGCGGCUGCUGGAUUGCAAGGAGGCUAUUCAGAGAAAGCUCACACAUUUGUAAAAGUCAGGCUGUUGGCUGUUUCCAAUACUGCAGAGAGUCAAACCCUAACCGUACCCUGACCCGAAUCAGAACCCCAACACUGGAGAAAGAGGUGAGCAGGUGAGUGUCCUUAUCUCUGCUGGUAAAAAACUUGUACUUGUUAUUUAUGUGUGUGUGUGUGUGUGUGUGUGUGAUCUCUUAUCUCUCAGUUGAGAAAUGCAGUACUUGGAGUCCAAGUCAAAUUGAAAAAACACUGUGUCAGAAAUAAAUGCGCUUGCUGUGGAACCAGUUAGUAAAGUUAAUGCAGUAAACGUGCAGGGUCAAUUUAAGCAUGAUGCACGCUGAGUGAGUGUACGUGCGUCACGCUGGGUUUGCAGCAGCUCCACUGCACUAUGUGAUGUGCAAGGCUUGUGCCUCCUGGCAGGAGGAGUGUUGAUGGGUAAACCGGUGAAGUCACUCUCAAUUUCUGUAACCCAGCUGCAGCUGGAAAUCAAAUGUCAAAAUGUGUCAAUUGGAGACGUCUGAAACAUUUUGAAUUCAGGGUUAGAAAGAAUUCCUUUCAGCCGGCUUGCCCUGGCGGUUCUGCGCCAUACAGGUGUGCCCAGGACUCGGGAAUGAACCCAUAAAUAAAGAGUAAGAUCCACUGAGACACGGCUUUGAUAAAAAUACACACGAGAGCGAGAGAGAGAAUUGAUUCGGAGGAGAAAUGCUCCUGCCGGUGAAGUUUAGCUCUUUAAUCCUGUCCCUUUUUUAUCAUAAUAUCUAAGUUUAUAGUAAACCAAGAGAUGAACGUAUGCCUGUAUCUUAUAACUGUACAGUAACAAUUUUGUUCAAACUCGUCAGUGUUUGAUAUUGUAAGCUAUAGUCUAAACUCUGUUAACUGUGGGGGGUGGGUGACAACAUUUUAUUUAAAAAAAUAAAAUAAAAGGAAAGAAACAGGCAUGAAAUGGUUCAAAACAGUUUAUUUUAUUGAAUUUUUUAUUUUUUUUUUCCCCAGACAAACACAUUGACUUCUGGACCACAGUAGAGGAUGGAAACCUUUCACAAACGUUAUUUUAUUAUUAUUAUUUUUUGAAAAUACAAAUAUAAAAUUAUACUUUCCACAUCUGCGAUGUGAGAGACCCCCAUCCACAUAGUUUAUUUUACAACAGGGCUUCAGCAAGCCGCACACGAAAGACCUGAAAAGAUGCGUUCAGACGUCAGCUCAGUUAAAAAGUCCUUCAACGUUAAAAAACGGGCAAGUGCUAAGAAUGGGCAAUAAAACUUCAAAAUACAGUGUAAGAGUUUCACUGAUUUCACGAUGGCUCGAGGUACCCCCUGCAACCACAUUCAAACCAGCAGCUCUGCAAGUAACAGUCUCUCCUGUUUUUAAAUGUGCUAUUUUUACACUGCUAUAGAACGUUGCAUCACAUUACAGAGUCUUCAUAAAAGAACGUUCUUUAAUGUGGGAGCUGGAAUGGGAAUUACCUCAAGCAGUACUCGAUAUUGUGCAGGACAGCAUGUAGUGUUCAGGCGCGUGAGAAACCGUUUGAACCAUUUCAAAAACAAAGCGGUUACUUAAAGCCUUUCCUGUUGUCAGUAUGUGGCAAUGAUCAGCGCAAGCAGAGCAGUUAUUCACACUGUCACAGAGAAGUGAGGAAGGACUUUGGCUUGGCUGUGAAUUCAGGAGCGCGUGCCGCAUGUUUCAGCCCCGUGUUAAACAGCCCCACUCGCUGACAGAAGCCCACGGGUAAUUAGCAUCUGCAGUAUAUAUGUUAGUUCCCAUAAAGACAGUCUCCAAGCUUCUGUUUAUUGUCUUGCAGAGCGGUAGACUGGCCACAGCCUAGCACUUGCCUCAAGAUUCAAGUUUCUAUGUAUGCCGCAGUUGCAUUGCGCAAUGCAACAGAACACCUUUCAGGUCGUUAUUUUACCAACAAUUACCCAAUGAAUUAACUAGUCUAGCAAGAUGUGCAACAUUCAUCAGCUGUAAACUGCUGUACAGUGAAAAAUAAAAUUACACCACAGAUCCAUGCUACCUUAAAGACCAAGCUACACGCUCAAAUAAAAACAACUAUUACAAAUAAUAAUAAUUACUAUUAAAUACCAAUAAAUAAAGGGCAUGGACUAUUUAAAAGACAAGCUGGUCUUGAUUUUAAUCAAACCAGAGAGGAGAGAGGAGAGAUCUGAAGGCACUUCAUUUCCUAAAUCUGAUCACAUUUACCACGGUUUUACAGUGUUCAGGAAACAGGACUCUUCUUACCGCUCUGGGAAGAAUAUUUGAGGAACGACGGGGAAGCGACUUGGAGGUCUCGAGACUGAAUGAACAAACAGUGCACUGAAAAGGGUAAGCAGACAAUAUUUUAACAACGAGAACCACUUGUGAUCACAAAACGUGCUGUCCUGAUAAGCUAACUGAAAUGCCCCAGCGUGCUCGGUUAUAAAAAAGGGACUGAGAGUCAGAAAGCAAGUCAAGCAGAGACUUUACUUGAAUUAGUGUGAGGGAAGUGGUCGGGGAUAAGGUAGUAACAUACUGCUGUUGCGUGUUGGCUCGAACUCUCUCGGGAGUUUGAAAAAACUUUUAAUAACAGUAGUGCCUGCAAAAACAUCCUCUCCACCCCUCGCCCCUCCAACCACAGAUGCAUCUGAAAGAGCAAGAAGCCUGUUUGAUAUAAAAUGAAGAUCCUGGCGUCAAGUACAAAAACCAGUCACAAAAUCUUUAAAAUGACGUUUUCAGAUGAGUGGGGAAUAAAUUAAUCUAGGCAGACAUUUAAAAA